AGGACGAACGCUGGCGGCGUGCUUAANACAUGCAAGUCGAGCGGGGAUGUUGACUUCGGUUGACAUUCUAGCGGCGACGGGUGAGUAACGCGUGAACAAUCUGUCCCAGACAGGGGGAUAACAGAUGGAAACAUCUGCUAAUUCCCCAUAGUAUUGAUUACAGGCAUCUGUUGUCAAUUAAAGAAUUUCGGAAACGGAUAGGCUCGCGUGACAUUAGCUAGAUGGCGGGGUAACGGCCCACCUAGUCUACGAUGUCUAGGGGUUCUGAGAGGAAGGUCCCCCACACUGGAACUGAGACACGGUCCAGACUCCUACGGGAGGCAGCAGUGAGGAAUAUUGGUCAAUGGUCGGAAGACUGAACCAGCCAAGUAGCGUGAAGGAUGAAGGUUCUAUGGAUUGUAAACUUCUUUUAUACGGGAAUAAAACCACCUACGUGUAGGUGCUUGUAUGUACCGUAUGAAUAAGCAUCGGCUAACUCCGUG
This 482-nucleotide ribosomal RNA is filed under the name uncultured bacterium. RNAcentral's name for it is "bacterial SSU rRNA". It matches the Rfam family "Bacterial small subunit ribosomal RNA", at positions 26 to 507 of the family's 1533-position model. The record is from RNAcentral.